This 461-nucleotide ribosomal RNA is filed under the name uncultured bacterium. Its description in RNAcentral is "partial 16S ribosomal RNA". It matches the Rfam family "Bacterial small subunit ribosomal RNA", at positions 338 to 795 of the family's 1533-position model. The record is from RNAcentral.
CCUACGGGUGGCUGCAGUGAGGAAUAUUGGUCAAUGGGCGCGAGCCUGAACCAGCCAAGUCGCGUGAGGGAGGACGGCCCUACGGGUUGUAAACCUCUUUUGCCGGGGAGCAACGGGCGCCACGUGUGGCGUCACUGAGAGUACCCGGAGAAAAAGCAUCGGCUAACUCCGUGCCAGCAGCCGCGGUAAUACGGAGGAUGCGAGCGUUAUCCGGAUUUAUUGGGUUUAAAGGGAGCGUAGGUGGAUUGUUAAGUCAGUUGUGAAAGUUUGCGGCUCAACCGUAAAAUUGCAGUUGAAACUGGCAGUCUUGAGUACAGUAGAGGUGGGCGGAAUUCGUGGUGUAGCGGUGAAAUGCUUAGAUAUCACGAAGAACUCCGAUUGCGAAGGCAGUUCACUGGACUGCAACUGACACUGAGGCUCGAAAGUGUGGGUAUCAAACAGGAUUAGAUACCCGAGUAGUC